GGGUUGUGAGGUUAAGCGACUAAGCGUACACGGUGGAUGCCCUGGCAGUCAGAGGCGAUGAAGGGCGUGCUAAUCUGCGAUAAGCGCCGGUAAGGUGAUAUGAACCGUUAUAACCGGCGAUACCCGAAUGGGGAAACCCAGUGUGAUUCGUCACACUAUCAUUAACUGAAUCCAUAGGUUAAUGAGGCGAACCGGGGGAACUGAAACAUCUAAGUACCCCGAGGAAAAGAAAUCAACCGAGAUUCCCCCAGUAGCGGCGAGCGAACGGGGAGGAGCCCAGAGCCUGAAUCAGCAUGUGUGUUAGUGGAAGCGUCUGGAAAGGCGCGCGAUACAGGGUGACAGCCCCGUACACAAAAGCGCAUGUGCUGUGAGCUCGAUGAGUAGGGCGGGACACGUGGUAUCCUGUCUGAAUAUGGGGGGACCAUCCUCCAAGGCUAAAUACUCCUGACUGACCGAUAGUGAACCAGUACCGUGAGGGAAAGGCGAAAAGAACCCCGGCGAGGGGAGUGAAAAAGAACCUGAAACCGUGUACGUACAAGCAGUGGGAGCACCCUUUGGGUGUGACUGCGUACC
This 573-nucleotide ribosomal RNA is filed under the name Salmonella enterica subsp. enterica serovar Enteritidis. Its description in RNAcentral is "partial 23S ribosomal RNA". It matches the Rfam family "Bacterial large subunit ribosomal RNA", at positions 1 to 605 of the family's 2925-position model. The record is from RNAcentral. Lineage: Bacteria; Pseudomonadati; Pseudomonadota; Gammaproteobacteria; Enterobacterales; Enterobacteriaceae.